Molecule: non-coding RNA, 46 nt
Filed under: Schistosoma haematobium
Lineage: Eukaryota; Metazoa; Platyhelminthes; Trematoda; Strigeidida; Schistosomatidae
Source: RNAcentral
GCAAUACUGAGGAGUUCCAUAAUAGGACGAAACGGCCGUCCAAUGC